UACGUAGGGGGCAAGCGUUAUCCGGAAUUACUGGGUGUAAAGGGAGCGUAGACGGUAAUGUAAGUCUGGAGUGAAAGGCGGGGGCCCAACCCCCGGACUGCUCUGGAGACUAUGUUACUAGAGUGCAGGAGAGGUAAGCGGAAUUCCUAGUGUAGCGGUGAAAUGCGUAGAUAUUAGGAGGAACACCAGUGGCGAAGGCGGCUUACUGGACUGUAACUGACGUUGAGGCUCGAAAGCGUGGGGAGCAAACAGG
RNAcentral lists this ribosomal RNA (253 nucleotides) under uncultured bacterium. RNAcentral's name for it is "partial 16S ribosomal RNA". It matches the Rfam family "Bacterial small subunit ribosomal RNA", at positions 524 to 776 of the family's 1533-position model. The record is from RNAcentral.